RNAcentral lists this unclassified non-coding RNA (344 nucleotides) under uncultured Basidiomycota. RNAcentral describes it as "sequence contains ITS1". The stretch from base 1 to 105 matches the Rfam family "5.8S ribosomal RNA", at positions 50 to 154 of the family's 154-position model. The record is from RNAcentral. Lineage: Eukaryota; Fungi; Basidiomycota.
GAAAUGCGAUACUUGGUGUGAAUUGCAGAAUCCCGUGAACCAUCGAGUCUUUGAACGCAACUUGCGCCCUCUGGUAUUCCGGAGGGCAUGCCUGUUUGAGUGUCGUGAACACCUCAACCCUCCAAUGUUUUUUUUGCAUUGAAGGCGUUGGUAGUGAGCGCUGCCGGACCUUGCGUCGGCUCGCUUUAAAGUCAUUAGCUGGAUCCACUCUGACCUGGUUCUACUCGGCGUAAUAAGUUAUUAUCGUCGAGGACGCUGGCCUUCUGGGCAGGCGGCCACGCCGUAAAACACCCAACUCUUCUGAAGUUGACCUCGAAUCAGGUAGGAAUACCCGCUGAACUUAA